CAUAUCACUAAGCGGAGAAAAAGAAAAUAACAAUGAUUCCUAAAGUAACGGCGAGUGAAAUAGGAAAAGCCCAUAGCCGAAUCCCGCUGUUCUAAGACAGCAGCUGGGAGUUGUGGCGUUUGGAACUGUCUAUUGUAACCGAUUGACCGAACUACGCGACUCCUCUUGAUUGUGGUUUGCCCAUAGCAGGUGAAAGGCCUAUAGCCCGUAGUUUCAAAUUGAAGGUCAGCGGUGAUGGCAGUCCUUAGAGUCGGGUUGUUUGGGAUUGCAGCCCGAAGUCGGUGGUAAACUCCACCUAAGGCUAAAUACGACCGCGAGUCCGAUAGCGAACAAGUACCGUGAGGGACAGUUGAAAAGAACUUUGAAGAGAGAGUUCAAAGUACGUGAAACCGUUCAGAGGUAAACGGGUAGAAAGUCGAAUUAGAGGUUGACAAUCAGGUCGUUGGCUAAGUCGGGGUUGGGCUUGCAACACGUUAAAGGUUGUAGGUCUACUCGUAAGGCUGGCUACGGCUGUACUUGUUGACUUUGGAUCGCCGCAACGGCAGUGACCGACCGGUGGUGUUGUUUCCUCUGGUUGACGUGGACUUGUAUGAGUCUUAACGUCGAUUAAUGAGANAGCAUCCUGCGUACAUGGCACAGUCGAUUAAAGCAGGUUCAAGUGUUCUAGCUGGCUAUUGUUUGCUUUGUAUUGAUGAUACGAUGUUAAAUAACCUCGCUCGNCAACAUCAGGGUAGCAGUGGUUGGUUUAAUGACAGAACAAGGAUCGCAUUGGUGGCGUUUGACUACGAAUUAUCUACCCGACCCGUCUUGAAACACGGACCAAGGAGUCUAACUUGUGCGCGAGCCAUUGGGAAUUGAAACCUAAAGGCAAAGUGAAAGCAAGCAUGGUGAGAUCUGUCGUUUAUUUGUUGAGAAUAACGGCGGCGCAUCAUCGUCACGUCUCGAUUUGGCUUCGGCUAAAGAGACGCAGACUGAGCGCACAGGUUGGGACCCGAAAGAUGGUGAACUAUGCGAGGCGAGGUCGAAGCCAGAGGAAACUCUGGUGGAGGACUGUAGCGGUUCUAACGUGCAAAUUGAUCGUCGCAGCUUCGUAUAGGGGCGAAAGACUAAUCGAACCAUCUAGUAGCUGGUUCCCUCCGAAGUUUCCCUCAGGAUAGCUGGCACUUUCGGAGAGCAGUUUUGUCCGGUAAAGCGAAUGACUAGAGGCCUUGGGGACAUAACGACCUCAACCUAUUCUCAAACUUUGAAUGGGCAAGAAGAGGGACUUACUUAAUUGAAGUCUCCUCAUAUGUGAAUGCUUGAGUGCCAAGUGGGCCAUUUUUGGUAAGCAGAACUGGCGCUGUGGGAUGAACCAAACGUCUAGCUAAGGCGCCAAAUGCUAACGCUCAUCCGAACCCAUUAAAGGUGUUGGUUGAUAGAGACAGCAGGACGGUGGCCAUGGAAGUCGGAACCCGCCAAGGAGUGUGUAACAACUCACCUGCCGAAUCAACCAGUCCUGAAAAUGGAUGGCGCUGAAGCGUUGUGAGCCUAUGCUAGACCGGCAUGGCAGUCGUUAAAAACAUGCCAUGCCGAGUAGGAGGGUCGCUGUGGUAUGCGUUGAAGCUUUGGGCGUGGGCCCGAGUCGAGCUUCCACAGGUGCAGAUCUUGGUGGUAGUAGCAAAUAUUCAAAUGAGAACUUUGAAGGCCGAAGUGGAGAAGGGUUCCAUGUGAACAGCAUUUGAACAUGGGUCAGUCGGUCCUAAGCGAUAGGCAAAUGCCGUUCUGAAAGCAGGCUUUGAUUUUCAUCGUUUAUAUGAAUUGAUAAAUGCCUGAUUUUGGUCGAAAGGGAAUCGGGUUAAUAUUCCCGAACCUGGACGCGGAGAUGGAUAGUAGUGUAACAACUGCUAUCAGUGCGGUAACGCAAACGAUCUCGGAUUCGUCGGCGGGAGUCCUGGGAAGAGUUCUCUCUUCUUUGUAAGGGGCUGAAUCCCUGGAAUCGGCUUAGCCGGAGAUAGGGAUAUUGCAAAACCCGUAAAGCAUCACACUUCUUGUGAUGUCCGGUGCACGACUGUCGACACUUAAAAGUCCGAGCUAGACGUUCGUAAUGUUCGCGCCAGGCCGUACCCAUAUCCGCAGCAGGUCUCCAAGGUGAACAGCCUCUGGCCUUAGACUGAUGUAGUCAAGGGAAGUCGGCAAAUUGGAUCCGUAACUUCGGAACAAGGAUUGGCUCUAUGGGUUGGGCCGUGACGGGCUGUGCUAGGAAGCGAUGCCUGCUAUUGAUGCUUUGGGUCUGACUGGCAACGGUUGGGCCUAGCGUCGAUUGGCGGCGCGUGGAUCUGGCAUGGCUUCGCCGGUGGUUUCGGCCAUCGGCUACGUUCGGCAAAAAGCAACCGACAUAGAACUGGUACGGACCAGGGGAA
Molecule: ribosomal RNA, 2399 nt
Filed under: Chaetonotus hystrix
Lineage: Eukaryota; Metazoa; Gastrotricha; Chaetonotida; Chaetonotidae
Description: eukaryotic LSU rRNA
Rfam family: Eukaryotic large subunit ribosomal RNA
Source: RNAcentral